Molecule: small nuclear RNA, 106 nt
Organism: Eptesicus fuscus (big brown bat)
Lineage: Eukaryota; Metazoa; Chordata; Mammalia; Chiroptera; Vespertilionidae
Source: RefSeq, a predicted model, not a curated record
GUGCUCACUGUGGCAGCACAUAUACUAAAAAAUUGGAACGAUACAGAGAUUAGAAUGGCCCCUGUGCAAGAAUUACACAUAAAUUCAUGAAGCUCUCCAUAUUAAA